Molecule: ribosomal RNA, 492 nt
Filed under: uncultured bacterium
Lineage: Bacteria
Description: partial 16S ribosomal RNA
Rfam family: Bacterial small subunit ribosomal RNA
Source: RNAcentral
AGUGAACGCUGGCGGUAGGCCUAACACAUGCAAGUCGAACGGCAGCACAGUAAGAGCUUGCUCUUACGGGUGGCGAGUGGCGGACGGGUGAGGAAUACAUCGGAAUCUACUUUUUCGUGGGGGAUAACGUAGGGAAACUUACGCUAAUACCGCAUACGACCUACGGGUGAAAGCAGGGGAUCUUCGGACCUUGCGCGAUUGAAUGAGCCGAUGCCGGAUUAGCUAGUUGGCGGGGUAAAGGCCCACCAAGGCGACGAUCCGUAGCUGGUCUGAGAGGAUGAUCAGCCACACUGGAACUGAGACACGGUCCAGGCUCCUACGGGAGGCAGCAGUGGGGAAUAUUGGACAAUGGGCGCAAGCCUGAUCCAGCCAUACCGCGUGGGUGAAGAAGGCCUUCGGGUUGUAAAGCCCUUUUGUUGGGAAAGAAAAGCAGCAGGUUAAUACCCCGCUGUUCUGACGGUACCCAAAGAAUAAGCACCGGCUAACUUCGUG